This 1419-nucleotide long non-coding RNA is filed under the name Homo sapiens (human). Its description in RNAcentral is "HSALNT0102265". Lineage: Eukaryota; Metazoa; Chordata; Mammalia; Primates; Hominidae. The record is from RNAcentral.
CUUUUGCUCAGUGAAGAUUUAUUGUUAUAGAAGGCAACUAAUACAAUAGAUUUGUGGGCUCGAAAUUUUAAAAAGUUCUAAAAAGGCAGUUAAAGCUUGACAAUAAACUUGAGUAAGGUUUACACAAUAUCAAAGUAUAUUAGUUCUUUGAAAUGAAAAGGUAUUUUUUUUCUUCCUUUAACAUUGAGAUGUCUGAGAUGUCAGGAUUUUGUAGCAUUCUUAGAAACAACAUCCACUGUGUGGGAUACUUUUUUUCCUUCUGGAGUUUUAAACCAGUCUGACUCUUUGGUUGUGCCUAUACAAUGAAAAGUCUACAAAUGAAAUGAGAGAAGUCAGGAUAUUUUCCUUUGUUAAACUAAGUAGCUGAAUAAUUAGAACUACCUAGAUAAAAGACUCAAAAUGUUUUUGUUAUCUGGUUGCCUGGUUAGGACAUAGCCAACAUUUCAAUGGAAUGUAGUAUCUUGUACAACUGCAUAUAAUUUUUUAAAAAAUAAACAAUGACUUUGUUUCUUUAGAUACAUCAAAUGCUGCUUGAGUGGCCAAAGGGAAAAUGCCAACUCUUUGAAAUGUAGUAUCUGUAGCACUUUUCUUCUUUCAGUAGUUUUUCAUGUGACAUGCUUCCUACUGAAAUUAAACUGCCAAAUAAAAAGGAAGGAUUGUGCCCUUUUUAAUAACAAAGAAUGCAGUCGUUAGAAUUCUUCAGAUUUGGAAUUCCAGCAGCACUCUAGUGUUUUCUUCUUGAUGUGUGACAAGAAUGAAUAAUAUCAAAAAUAAAAAUAAACCUCAUCUAAACAAGCAGUUCUUUGACUUUAUAACGUUCAACAUCAAAUUCUCAAAAUACUCAAGACCAGUAAAUUAUCAGAGCUGAGGAAAUAACAUGCUGAGGACAGAAUCAAUUUUUAAACAUUUUGAUUGAUUUUAACCUGCUAGCAUUAGUUUUGUUCAUUUCUGUUUAGACAUUGCCACUUCAACUGACUACUAGGGACCAUGGUAUUUCAUAUUCAUAUAAAUAUCUGAAUUUGACCUCAUAAGAAGUCCCUUGGGUCUAUAAUACUUUUAUUCUUGUAUAAUCUGAAACAAAUCCUUUCCUUUUAAAAAUCAAACAGACCACGUUAUACACACAGUUGACUAUUUACAAAGCACCCAAUUAAAUCCUACUUAAUUCUUUCACUCUAAAAAUUCCAUCUAACUUGUGUGUAAAGUACCCAUAACAUUAAAUGCAUAAUGUUCACAAACCCUGAUAGUCCUAUCUAACCUAGAAAAUAUUACCUUCCUUAAGGAGAAAAAAGAGCCUUAAAAGAAAAAUAAGAGUAAGGUUUUAAAGAAAUGAGACCAGAAAUCACAGUACAAGACAGAGAAAUCUACUUUAAUAUUCACAUGUAAAAGUUACACAUCACAAGAGAUUGGACAGUAGCUUAG